CUGAAUAUCAUACUAGCAUACUGUGCCUAGGGCUAACCCCCGGGUCAUCUACUCAUAACUACAUGGGCCGGCAUUGUGGCCAUAGACCCAUUCACACAAAAGGGAAACUCACCUGCACUGGCUGAACUCGCUGAUGAUCCCACUAGCUGGUGUCCGACAACUCUCUGAACUCCUGCUCCACUAGCUCCCUGAGCUACCAAUAUCAAUGCAACACUUAGUCUAACUGACCCCUUCAAUAUCUCAGAAAGGUUCCAGAACUCCAGAUCUAUAGCCAAUCCUUGAAGCUUCAAUGAUUCCCCUCUUUCUUCUUCCUUCAAAUCACCCAAAAAUGGCUUGGAAGCUUCAAUGCACAACAAUGGAGGCUUAAGGUUCGUUUCCUGGGAGAGAGAGAUAGCAAAGGAGCCCUAGGGAAGAGAAUAAGACGCUUAAAUAGGCUACAAGUCCCGAAUUUAGGGUUUUCCUCGUACAGACCAGACUCGCCGAGUCUCCUUGGCCGACUUGCCGAGUCGGUCACUUACUCCUCGACCCGGAUCCCGCUUGGACUCGCCGCGUUCAUCCUUGAACUCGCCGAGUCGUCCCCUAAACUUAGGGUUUCCUUUCCUUUCUUGGCCUUACUGACUUUGGGUGUUACAACUCUCCCCCACUUAAACUAAACUUCGUCCUUGAAGUUUGCUAUGGCCCACCGCCUGUGAUCUGCUUUCGAUACCCAACUAAUCAUUCCAACACCAGCUGGCUACCUUCGCUGGUCUUCCGCCUGGUCACUCCGGCUAACAUUAAUUCUUGCGGACUAAUAACAUCGGGUCAACCCUGACCCUGAACAUUCUGGAAACACAUCUCACUCCACCGACAAUCUUUCUGGUACUCACCGAGUACUGCACUGAACCUAUAGGGGUUCACCCCUUCCUUCCUUGCGCGAUUUCCUUUCCUUCCCAAGGCAAUGCUCCAUAACCAACUAUUUCCUAUGUCACUGUGAAGGUCCUAUCCUUCACCAACUCCAUCACCCCCGCUAUUUCCAGUACGGGUCAUCACCGUCAGUAACCACUGACACUCCUCUCUGUCAAAAUUUGGUGCCGAGCACCCCUCGAUUCAACUGACUGAAUUCCACCAUACACUGCUUACCCGCGGUACUACUGACCGAAAAUCCUGCUAUUCCUUGUCUGCCUUCCAGAUGAACUGAGACCACCGUGGUCCCUACCAACCUAUCAAUGUUUGGAUUACCGGCUCCCACCGGUAGCUAGUCCCAUCACCACCACUAGUCGCUCCCAGCGACUUCCGAAGAAACUUCGACCACCUAUAACUGCUCAAUCUAUUCUGCCAUUCAGGCACUACAAACCUGGGAUCCCUGAUCCCCUAACUUGACACUAAGGUCCCUACCAGGCCCCACCUGCGCUGCUAAAACUCACGGGCCUCGCCUACAGGUCCCACUCGCCUCUAUCCUUCUAGUCACACUAGUCUAAUCACUCUCGCUCGGGCCUCGCCCAUGGGUCUCACCCAACCAUACUACUGAGCAACCCUGCUCUCAGGUCUCAUCUACACUGCUAAUCUCAUACGGGCCUCGCCCACGGGUCUCACCCAACUAUAUCCUGGAGCGGCUUCUCCAAGGUCUCACCUCUCUAGGGCUAUACAGGCAAAUUCCCUAUCAUUCUCAUCCACUACCCAUUCCUGAUCCCUAUCUGAUCACUAGGAGAUAAGGGCCUCGCCCCAACUCCGCUAACGAAGCUACUAAGGAAUGCUACGGCUUACCCGUAGUCUUACAUCACCAUCCAUUGCUGACUGCUAGUGAAUGCUACGGCUGCCCCGUAGUCUUACAACACUUCUACCACUGACUGCUAGUGAAUGCUACGGCUGCCGCGUAGUCUUACAACACUUUCCACCACUGACUGCUAGUGAACGCUACGGCUGCCCCGUAGUCUUACAUCACUUCUACCACUUACUGCUAAUACGAAGGCACCCAUGUGCCAUUAGCUCUCAAGAUCCUCAUUCCGACUCGCUCGAGUCCUACAGGCGAUCCAUCAAUCUGAAUUCCUAACCACAUACUAACCAUUACCACCACACGCACUAGCUGAUGCGGAGUUUCUCAAACUCCCAACCCUGAAAUCCUCGAUCCAUCCCACGCUGAACCACUUCUUUUCCUUCUCGGAGGUCGCGCGCUCAUUCUGGAUCUACGUGCUCCUACCUUCGCACACUCGGAGGAUUCUCCCUCACUUCGAUCCUGCUUACCCCUUGCUGCUCAAUGCUCAGAAAGAAAUCCCAAUCCUUGCUACCAUUCCAUAAUCAAUCUGCUGAGGAACCCAAGCUUACCAUAGCUAGGGAUCUAACCAAUCCAUCUCUAACACUAUCCAACUCCGAUCUAGCGAGACAUACCAAAUCCCUCCCAAUCGUGCUACAGUUACUGCAUCUUAUGAAACUUUCUCCAAUAGGGCACAUCCCCUCACUACCAUUCAAAAAUCCAAGGUAUGUAGAUAGCAUAUAACUCGAUCACACUCAACCGCUCAAAAUAAAAUACUCAUACCGAUACUGAUGCAGAACCAUAACAAUAUAAUCAUGCACGAAUAAAAGGACUGAAAAUGGAAAUCGCAUACCUGCAACGUCCGGUGCUACUCGCGUCUCCAAGGUAGUCAUCUGAGAAGCCCCGCCUCCUACCGCAGGCGCCUCUGCACGGCCCUGCCGACCGUCCGUGGUCCUCAAGGUUGCAGGGGCAGGUGCCAUCACCCGNGGGGCAUUGGGCCUUUUUGUGGCCCCACUGAUUGUAGUGAAAACAUAACAAGUCUGAUCCCUGUGAGGUGGUAACAGUACAAUCCCUACUGAAAUGACCAGUCCGACCGCACUUGAAACAGCAGACUCACCACCGCUACCACUCCUACACGCGCCUCUGUGUGCCCUGCCACACUUCCCGCACCGACUGCGGUCCUAAUAAUCCCUCGACCUCGAAUCCGAUCCCUUGGGCCUUUUACCCGAACCUGCAGCUACAUGAACCUCAUUCGGCUUCCUCUUCCAGAUCUGCUCCAAAUCAAUUUCCCUCUCUCUAUCCCGAGAAAUCAUAUCUUCCAGCGUCUAACAGCUGGAUCUGCUCACGAACUCCCUGAUGUCAUCCCUCAACAUCUCAUGGUAUCGGGCCUUCUUCAUCACCUCAUCCGCGACAUACUGCGGUACAAGAAGAGCCCUCUUCCUGAGCUUGGCGGUGAUCUCCGCCACAGUCUCAGUGGUCUGCGUCAAAUCCUGAAACUCCCGUGCCAACUGCUGCACCUCAAUAAUCGGCGAAAACUCUGCCUUGAACCUGGCCGAGAAAUCGCUCCAAAUCAUCGCGUCCAACGCGGCACCAUUCCCCUAAAGCAUGACCAACCUCCUCACACCGAUCCCUCGCUCUGUCCUUCAGAAGACAAGAAACGAGUCUGACCUUGUCCCCCUCAGGACACCGGCUCGUACGGAAUGCGUUGGCAACAUCAGCCAACCAUCUGCUGCUAGUGAUGGGGUCCCUAGCCCCAUGAUAAUCUGGUGCCCCGCAAGCCCUGAACUCUCGAAAUGUCAAGGUACGCGCUCCCAUCAAUGCCAUCAUCUCAGUACGGAAGGCUCCCAGCCUCUCAUCAAAAAUCUCCAAUAUACCCUCCUUGAUCGUGCCAAAGAUCACAGGAGUCUGAUCUAGAAUACUGCACGUAACCUCAGUUGAUAUCACCUCCCUCAUUUGCUCCUCGAGCUGCUCGGCCCCUGAACCCAAGCCUGAUCCCUCUCCGGCGCCUGAUACGCCCGCUGGUCUCUCUCGCAACAACACCAUGCUGAAGAUAUAAUACAUCCUCUAUCAGAAUACUUAUCACUGCUGCGAGACCAAACACACAACUUACCAGGUUCCCGGUCUUGUCUCGGCCUUGCCUGAAUCGAGUACGGAUCCUCUGCUUUCAGUAGUACGGGCCCAUACUACCUUCCACAUCUAUCUGUACCUUCCCCAGGAAUUGCUUCGACUCCACUAGGUCCCUUAUCCACUACUACUGCUCCCAACACUAUCUCAUCCUAGGCUUACCCUAGGGAAACCUCUAACUCAACUCAAACCAGUCCUCAGCUGCUGAAGGCCUCCUUGUAAUGCCAAUUAGCCAUCAACUGAAUACCAUCACAUGUGACGAGGCUUAGAUAAUCCUUCGAGUAAAAGACUCGUCCUUACAACGGUUGGACUCAAACAAGAGCUGCGAAAUAGGGCCAAACCCAACACUCUGAGAUUAUCCAACCCUGAUCACAUGUGGUGUGAUGUAUCCACCUAAGGGCUAACUCCCAUCACUCGGAAUCCCACAAUGCACAAAGCAAACAGCAUUCAGACAAAGGAAAAUCUAACCAUAACAUACACAAGCAAUCAUGAUCUCAUAGCAAGAAUCUGCACUAGCAUGCAACACAAACUCAUAAACCCAGGCAUAACCUAAAUAGGCUAUCCUACUACUGUCUAAUCAGCACUAUCAUGCAGCUCAAAGCACAUAUAACAGGCACAUAAGGCAUCCUCCCUAGAUCCUUAGUCCUAAUCUAGCAUGCUGUUCUACUAACUGAUAAACAUAUCAUAAACUUGUAUGGGUAUUUUGGGGUACUUACUUGAGCUCGGCUGAUUGCAUGCAUCACACCCUUUUACUUUUAUUCAAAGUUCUUUAUUUUAUGAAUUCUUUUUGCUUUUCUAAAACUGUUUUCUUUCUCAAAACUCUCUUUUUACAAAGCUGUCUUUUUAUUUUGAAAAUUUCUAUAUCGAUUCCUCAGUUUGAGUUCAGACACACCCGAGAGCAUGUUCGAAUCCCUCAAACCAAGGCUCUGAUUCCAACUUGUAACGUUCCAAAAUUCAAGACUAAAAAUUUCUUUUAAUAAAACAUUACUUAAAGUAAAAUCAUCAAUUCCAAACAUAAUCAGGGUAUUAAUUUCCAAAAUACAUAUACGUUAUCAGAGUAAAACAUUCCCAGGCAGACUAAUAUAUGGUGUGUGCCAUGCGAUCAUCUCGAGCUCCUUCAUCCGCUACCGGAAGUACCUAAAACCAAAAUUGAAAACCGUAAGCACGAAGCUUAGUGAGUUCCCCCAUCAUACCAUACAAUCACAUAUCAUACAUACUGCCGGGCAAUUCUGGGGUGCCCGACCUACCCGGUACGGCCAUUCUGGGGUGCCAACCUACCUGUGUCAAGCCAUUCUGGAGUGCUGACUACCCAUGUCGUCAAGGCAUUCUGGGGUGCUGACUACCCAUGUCAAGCCAUUCUGGGGUGUUGAAUACCCUUCGGUCCUAACGACCGAACAUCGGGGACUGUUUCACCCCGUACUACUACUACUAUUAUCACAUAUCAUAACGUAACAGAUUAUCAGACAUAUCUGGGGUGUCUGAACUACCCUUCGGUCCUAACAACCGAACUUGGGGACUGCUCCCCUCCUACUAUCUCUAACUCACAUAACAGAUCAUGCUAGCAUGUAAACAUAACAUAACAUACUGUCAGACGUAUCUGGGGUGUCUGACAACCCUCCGGUCCUAACAACCGAACUCUACUGAUGAGUCAAGGAACCCCGUCCAUGCUCCUACUGAUAGUGAGAUACGGGCCCAGCCCACCCUCACUCUUUACCUAACUUGGGCCUCGCCCCUUAUCUACUGCUACUGACNUGCUGCUAAUGAGAUGUGGAACACCAUCCACACUCUGCUAUUGGUGAGGUACGGGACCUCGCCCACACUCACCUGCUUACCAGGCACAUACAAGUAUCACACAGACAACAAGUAUAAACUAUCACAUAAACGAUUCCUUGGGCACCCGCCCGCUAUCAUUGGACCUUGUCCUAAAUAUCAUACUAGCAUACUGUGCCUAGGGCUAACCCCCGGAUCAUCUACUCAUAACUACAUGGGCCGGCAUUGUGGCCAUAGACCCAUUCACACAAAAGGGAAACUCACCUGCACUGGCUGAACUCGCUGAUGAUCCCACUAGCUGCUGUCCGGCAACUCUCUGAACUCCUGCUCCACUAGCUCCCCGAGCUACCAAUAUCAAUGCAACACUUAGUCUAACUGACCCCUUCAAUAUCUCAGAAAGGUUCCACAACUCCAGAUCUAAAUCCAAUCCUUGAAGCUUCAAUGAUUCCCCUCUUUCUUCUUCCUUCAAAUCACCCAAAAAUGGCUUGGAAGCUUGAAUGCGCAGC
RNAcentral lists this long non-coding RNA (6129 nucleotides) under Lactuca sativa (garden lettuce). RNAcentral's name for it is "long non-coding RNA (LSAT_LNC009897)". Lineage: Eukaryota; Viridiplantae; Streptophyta; Magnoliopsida; Asterales; Asteraceae. The record is from RNAcentral.